UAUUGGUUUGUGGAUUUCACAAAAUCUGAAGCGUUUUCACUAUGAUUUCAGAUUAAUUUUCAAAGUAUCAGCUUCUCCGAAACUUCUCUCCCACAAAUACUCAAAUCACCCAAACUGAAGGCUGUGUGAAGAUGUCCUACACAUGGGUCCCUGCCGCCUAAGACCAGGCAGGAGGAGAUCAGAUUAUUUAUGAAAUAGAACAGGCUCAUCUGAGGAAGAGAAGGGUAUGAAAAGCCUGGGGCAGCAGAGACCUGUUUCCCGCUUUAUGACGUGUCUGGCAGACCUUAGGAUGCAGGACCCCUCAUCCAGGAACCAGAGGAGACACAGCCUCUGGGGCCCAUCCAGGGUGUCUGGUACCAAGGAGAAGAGGAAUUCCUGCAGGACUGUGCUGUUGAGACAGCUGUCUCCCCUCCUCAGUGACACCUGAUUACAACUGGCCCAUGUGAUGUAUAAUUGUAU
Molecule: long non-coding RNA, 459 nt
Organism: Suricata suricatta (meerkat)
Lineage: Eukaryota; Metazoa; Chordata; Mammalia; Carnivora; Herpestidae
Exons: 3
Source: RefSeq, a predicted model, not a curated record